RNAcentral lists this unclassified non-coding RNA (284 nucleotides) under Hevea brasiliensis (rubber tree). The record is from RNAcentral. Lineage: Eukaryota; Viridiplantae; Streptophyta; Magnoliopsida; Malpighiales; Euphorbiaceae.
GGAACUAUAAAUGUGCUUUUCAGGUGUUCGACGAAAUGAAUCACAGAGGUGUUCGCUUGAACACUCUUGGUUUUGGUGUGUUUUUGUGGAGAUUCUGUGGAUUUAAUGGGUUGGAAAAGACUUUGAAUUUGUUAGAUGAGGUUAGGAAGAUUGACUUUUCCGGAAUUAAUGGAUCCCUUUUGGCAGUUCUAGUCGUGCACGGGUUAUGUUCUCACUCUAGGAUACCAGAAGCUGUUUCUGCUUUUGAUCAAUUGAGGAUAAGGGAAUGUAAACCUGAUUUUAUU